RNAcentral lists this ribosomal RNA (294 nucleotides) under uncultured bacterium. RNAcentral's name for it is "partial 16S ribosomal RNA". It matches the Rfam family "Bacterial small subunit ribosomal RNA", at positions 60 to 357 of the family's 1533-position model. The record is from RNAcentral.
AGUCGAGCGGAAACGCCCUAACGAAGUACUCGAGCGGCGAAUCGGUGAGUAAGGGAUGAGACACCUGCCCCUGGCUCUGGGAUAGCUCCGAGAAACCGUUAUCAAUACCGGAUAUGAACACCUGCUGCAUGGCGGGGGGUGGAAAGUUUUUGCGGCUGGGGAUGGGCUCGCGGCCUAUCAGCUUGUUGGCAGGGUGAUGGCCUACCAAGGCGACGACGGGUAGCCGGCCUGAGAGGGCGGGCGGCCACACUGGGACUGAGACACGGCCCAGACUCCUACGGGAGGCAGCAGUGG